RNAcentral lists this small RNA (926 nucleotides) under Vigna angularis var. angularis. RNAcentral's name for it is "Non-protein coding transcript". The record is from RNAcentral. Lineage: Eukaryota; Viridiplantae; Streptophyta; Magnoliopsida; Fabales; Fabaceae.
ACAACACUUAAUAUUUUGUUGGUGUUGAAAAUUGUUAAAGAAAAGUAAUAUAUGCAUUUUUGUGGAAAAAUAAAUUGUAACACCUAAAUCGGGGUGUUACACUAUUGGGUAUCAGAGCAAUGGUUUUCGAAAAUCCAUAUCUCUUUUGUAAGUAAUCUUUUGUUAAAUAGUCUUUGUUUAAAUAAAUAAUUUUCGAGGACGAAAAUAAUUGUUGUUGGGGAGAUUGUAAGAUCCUUGAAAAUAUUUGUAAGUUAGAUACUAGAUAAAAAAAAAUUAAAAAAAAAAUAGUAAAUAGUAAAUUAUGAAUAGUAAAUUGUGAAUAGUAAAAAGUGAAUAGUAAAAAGAAAAAAAAAUUAUUUUUGGAAAGGAUAAGUAUUACACGUAGCUUUGAGAUCAGAAUUCACCAAUUUGCAAAUAAAAAAUUAUUUUUGUAAUAGUAAAAUGAAUAAAAAAAUGAAUAGUACAAAUGAAUAGUAAAAAUGAAUAGUAAAUUUUUUUACUAUAAAUAGCCAAGGGGGAGGCUGAAAAUUUACACCAAAGAACUUAGAAAAAUGUUGAGAGAAGAGAGUUGGAAGAAUUUCUAAUUGCAAAGGGGAUAUUCUGGAAGUUUUCAGAGAGCGAGGAGAUUAAGUCUGUAAUAGAGAUAAUGUUGCAGAUGCGGUUGAAAAAGCUUAGAGAUGAGAGAGAUGCGGGGAAAAACUUUCAGGGAUUUUUGUAAAAAUAAUAAAUUUGUAUUGGGAAGAUUAUGUUGUGUAAAACUUAUAAGUUGAAAUUUCAAUGGUGAAGACUAUAUUGUUUAAAGUUUGAAAGUUUGGUAUUGUACUUUGGAGUAAUUGAAAUAAAGUUUGAUUGUUUAUAUGAGAUAUCAAAUUAAUUUAGUCUCUACUAUCAGUAAUACCCUUUAAAAUAUUAGGGUGUUACAUUUU